Molecule: ribosomal RNA, 468 nt
Filed under: uncultured bacterium
Lineage: Bacteria
Description: partial 16S ribosomal RNA
Rfam family: Bacterial small subunit ribosomal RNA
Source: RNAcentral
GACGAACGCUGGCGGCGUGCUUAACACAUGCAAGUCGAACGGAAAGGCCCUGCUUUUGUGGGGUGCUCGAGUGGCGAACGGGUGAGUAACACGUGAGUAACCUGCCCUUGACUUUGGGAUAACUUCAGGAAACUGGGGCUAAUACCGGAUAGGAGCUCCUGCUGCAUGGUGGGGGUUGGAAAGUUUCGGCGGUUGGGGAUGGACUCGCGGCUUAUCAGCUUGUUGGUGGGGUAGUGGCUUUCCAAGGCUUUGACGGGUAGCCGGCCUGAGAGGGUGACCGGCCACAUUGGGACUGAGAUACGGCCCAGACUCCUACGGGAGGCAGCAGUGGGGAAUAUUGCACAAUGGGCGGAAGCCUGAUGCAGCAACGCCGCGUGCGGGAUGACGGCCUUCGGGUUGUAAACCGAUUUCGCCUGUGACGAAGCGUGAGUGACGGUAAUGGGUAAAGAAGCACCGGCUAACUACGUG